GACGAACGCUGGCGGCGUGCUUAACACAUGCAAGUCGAACGGAAAGGCCCCUUUGGGGGUACUCGAGUGGCGAACGGGUGAGUAACACGUGAGUAACCUGCCCUUGACUUCGGGAUAACUUCAGGAAACUGGGGCUAAUACCGGAUAGGAAUCCUUGCUGCAUGGUGGGGGUUGGAAAGCUUCGGCGGUUUUGGAUGGACUCGCGGCUUAUCAGCUUGUUGGUGGGGUAGUGGCUUACCAAGGCUUUGACGGGUAGCCGGCCUGAGAGGGCGACCGGCCACAUUGGGACUGAGAUACGGCCCAGACUCCUACGGGAGGCAUCAGUGGGGAAUAUUGCACAAUGGGCGGAAGCCUGAUGCAGCAACGCCGCGUGCGGGAUGACGGCCUUCGGGUUGUAAACCGCUUUCAGCAGGGGCGAAGCUUGUGGUGACGGUACCUGCAGAAGAAGCACCGGCUAACUACGUG
Molecule: ribosomal RNA, 465 nt
Filed under: uncultured bacterium
Lineage: Bacteria
Description: partial 16S ribosomal RNA
Rfam family: Bacterial small subunit ribosomal RNA
Source: RNAcentral